This 508-nucleotide ribosomal RNA is filed under the name Anguilla nebulosa (mottled eel). RNAcentral describes it as "partial large subunit ribosomal RNA". It matches the Rfam family "Bacterial large subunit ribosomal RNA", at positions 1952 to 2591 of the family's 2925-position model. The record is from RNAcentral. Lineage: Eukaryota; Metazoa; Chordata; Actinopteri; Anguilliformes; Anguillidae.
GAAGGUAGCGUAAUCAUUUGUCUUUUAAAUAGAGACCUGUAUGAAUGGCAUAACGAGGGUUUAACUGUCUCCCUCCCCUAGUCAAUGAAAUUGAUCUGCCCGUGCAGAAGCGGACAUAAACACAUAAGACGAGAAGACCCUAUGGAGCUUUAGACAAAAGAUCAAACAUGUAAAGAAACCUAGCUAACCAAAAGGAACACAAAGGCCACAAAACCAAACGUAAUAUGAUCUAAAUGUCUUCGGUUGGGGCGACCACGGGGGAAAGAAAAGCCCCCACGAGGAACUAGGGGCAAUCCAUUAAGUCAAGAGAUACACCUCUAAGCAACAGAAAAUCUGACCAAAAAUGACCCAGGACACUAAUCCUGAUCAACGAACCAAGUUACCCUAGGGAUAACAGCGCAAUCCUUUCCCAGAGUCCAUAUCGACGAAAGGGUUUACGACCUCGAUGUUGGAUCAGGACAUCCUAAUGGUGCAGCCGCUAUUAAGGGUUCGUUUGUUCAACGAUUAA